Molecule: ribosomal RNA, 336 nt
Filed under: uncultured bacterium
Lineage: Bacteria
Description: bacterial SSU rRNA
Rfam family: Bacterial small subunit ribosomal RNA
Source: RNAcentral
AAGUGGAGCAAUCCAUGAGUAAAGAGGCGACCGGGUGAGUAACACGUGACUAACCUACCUUCGAGUGGGGGAUAACCUCGGGAAACCGAGGCUAAUACCGCAUAACAUCGCAAGAUCAAAGCAGCAAUGCGCUGGAAGAGGGGGUCGCGGCUGAUUAGCUAGUUGGCGGGGUAACGGCCCACCAAGGCGAAGAUCGGUAUCCGGCCUGAGAGGGCGCACGGACACACUGGAACUGAAACACGGUCCAGACUCCUACGGGAGGCAGCAGUGGGGAAUUUUGCGCAAUGGGGGAAACCCUGACGCAGCAACGCCGCGUGGAGGAUGAAGCCCCUUGGG